Molecule: ribosomal RNA, 265 nt
Filed under: uncultured prokaryote
Description: partial 16S ribosomal RNA
Rfam family: Bacterial small subunit ribosomal RNA
Source: RNAcentral
UACGUAGGGUGCGAGCGUUGUCCGGAAUUAUUGGGCGUAAAGAGCUUGUAGGCGGUUUGUCGCGUCUGCUGUGAAAAUCCGGGGCUCAACCCCGGACUUGCAGUGGGUACGGGCAGACUAGAGUGUGGUAGGGGAGACUGGAAUUCCUGGUGUAGCGGUGAAAUGCGCAGGUAUCAGGAGGAACACCGAUGGCGAAGGCAGGUCUCUGGGCCACUACUGACGCUGAGAAGCGAAAGCAUGGGGAGCGAACAGGAUUAGAUACCCU